CCACGGCCUUCGAAUUGGAACAGUGCUCGUGCAACGACUGAUGACGUUUCACGAGUCCACGAGCACACAAGCACGCACAAGUACGCGAAUUGAGAAACGGCCAUAAUAAAGGAUGGACCACGGACUGGAAAAUGGCCGCCCAUUCAUUCCUAUACAAACUGCUCAGUGGCGCAGGGUAACAUACAGGAGCGAUUUGCUUCCGCGUUAUGGGUCCAAGACACGUGGCCUAGUCAGAGAAUGUCUAAUAUGAGGAGAAUGGGCACUCGCUGGUUGGUUCCGGUUUUCUGGAAUGGUUGCAGUAAUAAUCUCUGUCCACGCGGGGCGCUCGUAGGCGAAUCCAGAAUGAAUGGGAGCCUAUGGGGUUUUAUCCUCAGAAUACACUUUUCUCACGAUGUAAUUUUUUGUCAAGUAAUUUGAAAGUUGCGUUCAAAAGGUGGGGCUAAAAUAAUAAACUCAGCUGAAUAUUGCAUUUUUUAAGGUCACGUAUCUGUUCUAAAAAGGUGUUAAAAAAAUACGAUGACGUCACACAUUGUCAUACUGUCAGAGGUACUGCUUUACGGCAGUUUCUGAAGCACUUCCCGCAACGAUAAUACCAGCUGUUGGAGUUGGACAUUGAUGCUGUGACAACGGACAAGUCUUCUUCCUCUGUCCUUUUUCCCUGCCUCUGUUCUGUAUGUUCAGUGUUGUUAAAUCAUUUAUCUUUUUUUUUAUUAUUUACUAUUAGUUACUGUUCUUAUUGUGUUCUUGUUAUUGUGAUGUUUGAAUAAACUUGCCUGUUGCAAUGUU
This is a long non-coding RNA of Gadus macrocephalus (Pacific cod), 786 nucleotides long. RefSeq lists it as uncharacterized. The transcript is spliced from 2 exons. The record is from RefSeq and is a predicted model, not a curated record. NCBI's taxonomy places the organism in Eukaryota, Metazoa, Chordata, Actinopteri, Gadiformes, Gadidae.